UACGUAGGCAGCAAGCGUUGUUCGGAAUUACUGGGCGUACAGAGUGUGUAGGCGGUUCCUUAAGUUCCGUGUGACAUCUCCCGGCUCAACUUGGAGGGUGCGCGGGAACCUGGGGGGCUCGAGUAUGGGAGAGGAAAGCGGAAUUCCUGGUGUAGCGGUGAAAUGCGUAGAUAUCAGGAGGAACACCUGCGGUGUAGACAGCUUUCUGGACCAUCACUGACGCUGAGACACGAAAGCGUGGGUAGCAAACAGG
Molecule: ribosomal RNA, 253 nt
Filed under: uncultured bacterium
Lineage: Bacteria
Description: partial 16S ribosomal RNA
Rfam family: Bacterial small subunit ribosomal RNA
Source: RNAcentral